Molecule: ribosomal RNA, 129 nt
Filed under: Triticum aestivum (bread wheat)
Lineage: Eukaryota; Viridiplantae; Streptophyta; Magnoliopsida; Poales; Poaceae
Description: partial small subunit ribosomal RNA
Source: RNAcentral
AUGCAGGUAUUGUCAGCAACCAUUCUAUUUUUAAAAAAUGUUAAAAUAAUGAGUGUAUCAAAACAUUUUCCUUCUUUGGUGAACAACACGUUUGCCUAUCCAGAAACAAGAGAAGAAGGUCUGACCUAA